This 1484-nucleotide ribosomal RNA is filed under the name uncultured bacterium. RNAcentral's name for it is "bacterial SSU rRNA". It matches the Rfam family "Bacterial small subunit ribosomal RNA". The record is from RNAcentral.
AGAGUUUGAUCCUGGCUCAGAUUGAACGCUGGUGGCAUGCUUAACACAUGCAAGUUGAACGGCAGCAUGAUCUAGCUUGCUAGAUUGAUGGCGAGUAGCGGACGGGUGAGUAACGCGUAGGAAUCUACCUCUAAGUGGGGGACAACUUGUGGAAACGCAAGCUAAUACCGCAUAAUACCUUAGGGUUAAAGCUGGCUUCGGCUGGCGCUUAGAGAUGAGCCUGCGUCCGAUUAGUUUGUUGGUGGGGUAAAGGCCCACCAAGACUACGAUCGGUAGCUGUUCUGAGAGGAAGAUCAGCCACACUGGGACUGAGACACGGCCCGAACUCCUACGGGAGGCAGCAGUGGGGAAUAUUGGACAAUGGGGGCAACCCUGAUCCAGCAAUACCGCGUGUGUGAAGAAGGCCUGAGGGUUGUAAAGCACUUUCAAUUGUGAAGAAAAGCUAGUGGUUAAUAGCCAUUAGCCUUGACGUUAACUUUAGAAUAAGCACCGGCUAACUCCGUGCCAGCAGCCGCGGUAAUACGGAGGGUGCAAGCGUUAUCCGGAUUUAUUAGGUUUAAAGGGUUCGCAGGCGGAAUUUUAAGUCAGUGGUGAAAGCCUACAGCUCAACUGUAGAACUGCCAUUGAUACUGAUAUUCUUGAGUAUAGAUGAAGUGGGCGGAAUAUGUCAUGUAGCGGUGAAAUGCAUAGAUAUGACAUGGAACACCAAUUGCGAAGGCAGCUCACUAAACUAUUUACUGACGCUCAUGAACGAAAGCGUGGGGAGCGAACAGGAUUAGAUACCCUGGUAGUCCACGCCGUAAACUAUGAUCACUAGAUGUUGGCGAUAUAUUGUCAGUGUUUUAGAGAAAUCGUUAAGUGAUCCACCUGGGGAGUACGUUCGCAAGAAUGAAACUCAAAGGAAUUGACGGGGGCCCGCACAAGCGGUGGAGCAUGUGGUUUAAUUCGAUGAUACGCGAGGAACCUUACCAAGACUUAAAUGUAUUUUGACAGGUUGAGAAAUCAACUUUUCUUCGGACAAUUUACAAGGUGCUGCAUGGUUGUCGUCAGCUCGUGCCGUGAGGUGUCGGGUUAAGUCCCAUAACGAGCGCAACCCCUAUUUUUAGUUACCAGCGAGUAAUGUCGGGAACUCUAGAAAGACUGCCUGUGUAAACAGUGAGGAAGGUGGGGAUGACGUCAAAUCAUCACGGCCCUUAUGUCUUGGGCUACACACGUGCUACAAUGGUUACUACAGUGGGCUGCCAUCUGGCAACAGAGAGCAAAUCCAUAAAGGUAAUCUCAGUUCGGAUCGGAGUCUGCAACUCGACUCUGUGAAGUUGGAAUCGCUAGUAAUCGUAUAUCAGCAAUGAUACGGUGAAUACGUUCCCGGGCCUUGUACACACCGCCCGUCAAGCCAUGGAAGUUUGUGGUGCCUGAAGUCAGUAACCGAAAGGAUCUGCCUAGGGUAAAACAGAUAACUAGGGCUAAGUCGUAACAAGGUAACC